UAGGGAAUCUUCGGCAAUGGGGGCAACCCUGACCGAGCAACGCCGCGUGAGUGAAGAAGGUUUUCGGAUCGUAAAGCUCUGUUGUAAGAGAAGAACGUGUGUGAGAGUGGAAAGUUCACACAGUGACGGUAACUUACCAGAAAGGGACGGCUAACUACGUGCCAGCAGCCGCGGUAAUACGUAGGUCCCGAGCGUUGUCCGGAUGUAUUGGGCGUAAAGCGAGCGCAGUCGGUUUAAUAAGUCUGAAGUUAAAGGCAGUGGCUUAACCAUUGUUCGCUUUGGAAACUGUUAAACUUGAGUGCAGAAGGGGAGAGUGGAAUUCCAUGUGUAGCGGUGAAAUGCGUAGAUAUAUGGAGGAACGCCGGUGGCGAAAGCGGCUCUCUGGUCUGUAACUGAAGCUGAGGCUCGAAAGCGUGGGGAGCAAACAGG
Molecule: ribosomal RNA, 429 nt
Filed under: bacterium
Lineage: Bacteria
Description: partial 16S ribosomal RNA
Rfam family: Bacterial small subunit ribosomal RNA
Source: RNAcentral